AAAAAAAAAACACUUUUAAGUAUUUCACACGUUGCAAAAACAGAAUAAGGCACAGUUACCUCGAUAUUAUAUCGCCUGUUCGGAAUGUAGCACUUAUGUGGUGGCAUGCCUUCAGGUUUUAGAGGACAGUGGUCGGUUUUUACAGAUAUUACACGUGAAUGAAAUCGUAAAAAAACAAGUAUGUAAGUAGCUACGAGUAUGUUAUCGUUUGUAUGGUAUCAAUAUAAUUAUGAUAUAAAAUUAAAAACAUUUUUACCCUGCCUGCUUUUGAAGGAGCAUAUGUGUGAAAUUUUCAUAUUACGAUUGUUAGAUUUUUAAUUAUUUCAAUAAUUAUAAAUACAUAAGACAACAUAUAAAAACUCCUUCUUCCAGAUAAAUGUUUUAAUCUGUACUGUUUAUUAAUGAUAAUGGUUUUAUUCUGAGGUUGGUAAGGUAUUGUGAUAUAUACUCUAUGUAAAAGAGGCGAACAUGCGAUUAUGUGGCGUGAAGUUUAUUUAAUUAAUGUAUUAUCCAUCUACCAAAAAGUGAGAGUACCUACGAACACGAUGUCAUUACCUACAUUAAAGUCGAUCUACAGAAAGAAAAUGUAACGGCAUUUAAAUGAAGUGUGAAUUUGGGAAACAGUGGUUUACAUUACGAGAAAUGCGAUAAAAAUCAUACGUGUGUACAACCAUUAAGUAUGUAUACCACUGACGGCUAUGGGACGCACGCCGCACUGGUCCCGGUAAAAGUAUUUAUGCGAUGUCGGUUGUCGAUGCUUACAAUAUCUAACAAGAAUGAAGAAACGUAAACGUAACACACUUAUACCAUGUUGACGAUAUUUAUGAGCAAAACAGUCAAACAGUCCAACAGCACUCAUAAGAGGAUAUUAUUUGAAAAACUGCGAGAGAACAGAGAAGAACGUGUAAAUUAAUAACAAAAUACAAAGAUGCAUGUGUGGUGUUAGCUGCAGAGUUAUAUGAGAUGGAAUCCUGUUGGUUUGACGGAUGAGAAAUACCAAUGAUGUCUAAAUAUAUUAAACUAGGUGUCUGGUGAGUUUUAUUAGUUUGAUUAAACAGCCUCAUAAAUUAUUCAGUUGUGACUAAUAUGAAAUAAAAUUACAAAGAAUAAAUAAUCACUAGGUGAAACUAAGUAUGGUUGAUAGGUUGUCAGUUUGUCUGGCUUAUUGUCAAAACAUUUUUGUUAGAUGACUAUAUCUAGGAAACCAAAAUCAUUUAAGUGAAAAGUACACACACACACACACACAUACACACUGCUCAAGAAAUUAACGUAUGAAGACAGACCACUCUAGGGUUGUUAGGAUGUAGGACACUGGCAUAAUGUAAUAUUGAGAAAUCUUAAUUAUAGAACUACAUUACAUCCGUUGCUGACAUGGGACUAAAAUGAAUUAACUAAAAUAUUGUUUUUUUUUGUGCCUGUAACUUCAAACUAUACAUUUGUUAUAUGUGAGUUUUUAUGACUGAAUAACAUAAAAAUUAAAAAUAUAUGAAGUUUUAUGUAAUGGUUCAAGUAUUAUUUUAGGCCUUGAUGUAGGUACCUGAUAACAAGUUUUGAGACAGCUAUUACAAUAUUUUCAGAUAGGAUUUGCUUAGAUAUAUCAUUAUGUAGAUUACUGUAUGUACUUAAUAUAAAUUUUUUUAAAUCUUUUAAGAAAUUGGAUUGAUAGAUUUCUUGAAAAAUAAAUUUGUAGUUAUGUUUGAAAACCUAUUUAACUAUUCAAGCGUUGACAACAUGCCUUCAGCCUAUUUAGUAUAGAACAGUUAUUAACAAUCUGCAGCAACACAGUAAAUGAUUCUUAUCCAUGAAUAUUAUUAUAUUCGGCUUAUCUACAAGAGUACUAAGAGAUAUUAUGAUAUUCAUCUUAAUGAAAUCUUAUAAUUAAUUAAAUUGGAGAUUUUUUUUUAGGGUGAUAUUAAAAAGUUACUUGUGUGACAAUUGAGUAAUAAAUAAUUAAUUAUAAUAAUAUCAUUGAUCACAAAUUGUCUUAGAGCCCAGUCUGUAUGGACUUCAAGUAAAGAGACACAGAUUGCCAUAAAUAGGUUGUAAAAUAUUUGUCUAAGACAUAUUUUGACAGUUUUGUGGGUGGGUGACGUUGGGCUCUCUUUUCAUUAAUGGUCAUGUGCAGAUGUAUAGAUUCUACAUACAAGUAAAUUAACCAUACUAUUGCUGUUGUUUUAGAUUCAAUCAAUCAGUUUAUUAUUUGCAGAUACACUAGUGUAUUUAAUCCAUGUCUCAUUUGUUUAUUUCUAGCAUUUUAUUAGAUUGCAACAUUUUGUAUAAUUAUGAAAAUUAGUAAUUAUUAUGGGGUUGUGGUUAGAAUUAUAUAUUCGGAUGGUUACAAUGAUAUGUGCAUAAGGUUUUAACUAGGGUAUACUAGUACACUAAAGGUAAAAAAAAAAAAAUUAGAAAAUUCCUUGGCCAACAUAUUAAGUGGUAUAGGUUUUGAAUAUAGAUUUGUAUUGGGUCCUUAGGUAGUCAGUACAUUUGUGCAUCUACAAAGUGCACGCCACCGAGUUGUUGGUACCUGCAUGCAACUGAUGGGUGGUCUGCAUCAAGUAUGAAUCAAUAUAGAGACUUAAAUCAUUACAUCAGUAAAAUAAUUAAUGGAUAUAACCAAAAAAAAAAAAAAAAAAAGAAAUUUAACAGAAUUAAAAAAAAAAAGAAUAUACUAAAAUUAAUGAAUAGGUAAAACCUCUGAUAGCAAACUAGAGGUAUAUAACAAAGGGGGUGGUCUGGUCUAAGACAGGUUUAUGCUACUAUUAUUACAAAAAAGGGGGUAGUCUGAAGAUAAUUAUACAAUACAUAGUCAAAUAUCAUCUUUUCUUAUCUAGUGAUAACUACUAGGAUUGGAUUACAUACUAAAAUUAUUACAAUCAUAAAUCGCAAUAUUUUCAAGAAGUCUUUAUUAUCAUUAAAAAAAAAAAAAAGCAUUUCUUUAAGAGAAAGAGUCUUUUGUCUGAAUUAAAGUAAAUUGAUAGAUUAACACAUGUUUAACAUUUUAUUUCAUUUUAUGUACCGGGUCUAAGGUUCAUUCAAUUAUAGACUGAUUUUCUCUUGGAUGCUAGGUAUGCUAGUUAUGUUAAAUUAAAUUAUUUGUCAAACAAGUAUGAUAUUUAUCUGAACGAUUAAGUGACUGAGCUAUGUGAUACUGUGUGAAAAUAUUUGAUUACAGAUCCGAGAUGCAUGGAUAUUGAUUGAUGAAUAUGGGAUAUAUGAGAUUCUCAUGAUAAUCAUUGGGUUGAACACAGCCCUAUUCGACAGUUGACCCAAAUCACAAAGAUGAGAGAAGUUACACUAUGUAUUGAUAACACACGAUUUAAAUUUAGUAUUUUUAUUUAUGAUAUGAUGAUAUUAUAAUUAUGUAUUAUAUUGAGAGUUAUUAGUUUUGAUAUCAUAUAUACAAAUAUUUUAAAUAUUUGCUCACAUCCAUGAUGUUAUUCAUUAAUUAUGACUUACUGAUGACGAUUUGUGUUUUGGUAAAAUUUUAAUAUAAGGAUAGAUGUAUUACACAGGCCGACACGAUUUUCGUUGUCCAAGAUAUAAUUAUUUUUUUUCUACUGAUUUUGUAGUGCUGAUUACGAAAUCAGACCUAAUUUUAUCAUAUCACAUCAGAUUUUUAGUAAAAUUAAUAUAUUCGCUAGUUUUGAUUUUUCAGUGAAAUUUUCGAGUUUUGGCACUCUUUCUUUGAAUUAAGCGACCUCUCAUGAGAAAUUACUUCAGUUAUAACAACGACACACCUAUUUGUAACGCGUUUCGUGGAAAUAAGCUGUUAUAGUGCCUUUGUUAAAAAAAAAAUAUAUAUAUAUAUUUUAGUUAAUGGUUUUUUUUGUUGUUGGAAAACGUCUGAUAAACAUAACGUCUUCUAUAAAGUGUCACAAUAGUCCAGAUAUAUUUUGUUACAUUUGUUGAAACUUUAUGAUUCUAAGCAAAAACUGAAAAAUUUGUGGAAAAUAUGUAUAAUAAAUAUGUAGCUUAUUUUGACUUCAAAAUACAAAUAAAAUCGUGGACUCUGCAGUUUGUACUAAUCGUGUUGAACAAUUAAGGCAGUGGACACUGGACAUACAGCAAAAGACAAUCUCUACCUUUUGGUACUACCUAUGAUAUAGUGAAAGCAAGACAAUCAUACAGAUAUUGUUAUUUUUGCUGUAUGUUAGAAGCUUUUAAAGUAAAAUUUGUUUUCCUUUUUGUAAAAAAAAUUGAUGUGAUAGAUUAAUUGUGCAGGUAUUUUUGUGUUCAAAAUACUAUAAAUUACUGAUAAUUUUUACUGAAAUCAAAACAACGUUCAAAAAGUAUUCAUUUGUCGGCCGGUGUUAUCGAUAAUAUUUUAGAUAGUAUUAUAGUAUAGUAGUGUUAUGACGACUAAUAUACCGUUAUUUGUUUUGUGAAUGAUUAUGGAUAUAUUUGUUGUAUAAUAAUUUCUCUAUUGAUUAUUACACAGCAAAAUAAAAUAAAUCAAUAAAUAUAAAAAGAUUCCAACGAAUUGAUAAACUCCUUUUUUUUGAAGUCGUUUAAAAAUGUAUGUAUAUGUAUUUAUAUCUGAUUUUAUAUUUUGAUUAUCUUCUAUCACAUGUCAUCUGGAAGUCUAACACGAUCAUGAAGUCCUGUAACUAUAUUAGUUCUGAACUUGAUGGUGAGGGGUUCGGUGCAGAUGCCAUUAAUCGAUGAUGACGAAUUUGACAAAUAUAAAUAAUGUUUUGAAAUGAUGAAAAUAGAUAAGUUGAUUGACAAAAGCUUCACAUGAACAUUAUGUUUAUUUAUAAUAUGUAUCACUCUUAUUCUUAUUUAACAUUUUUAUGAUAAAAGUAUAUAGAAGAAAUCAAGAAUUUCAUUAUAGUUUCAUUGGAUUCUUUUAAAUAACUUAUGGGAUGCUGUGUGAUAAUUAAUUAUAAAAUUUUAUUGUUAACAUUGUUCUAUUUAUAGUUGAUAUUAUAGUAAUGUCAUAAUUUCAUGAUAUUCUUGUGUUGUUUGGGGACAAACUUUUAGUAAGGAUGGCCGAAUAUUAGAAGAUAAAGACAUUACAUUUGUAAAUAUUACAUAUCGUCUAUGUACUUAAUGCUUUAAAUUAAUCUACUACUCUGUCUAAGUUAAUUACAAUAUUUAAUAAGUCUCUGUCUAGAGUAAAGCUCCCUCUUGUCAUCUGGAAGCUCAGACAAAUAUUAGAAGAUAAAGACAUUACAUUUGUAAAUAUUACAUAUCGUCUAUGUACUUAAUGCUUUAAAUUAAUCUACUACUCUGUCUAAGUUAAUUACAAUAUUUAAUAAGUCUCUGUCUAGAGUAAAGCUCCCUCUUGUCAUCUGGAAGCUCAGACAAAUAUUAGAAGAUAAAGACAUUACAUUUGUAAAUAUUACAUAUCGUCUAUGUACUUAAUGCUUUAAAUUAAUCUACUACUCUGUCUAAGUUAAUUACAAUAUUUAAUAAGUCUCUGUCUAGAGUAAAGCUCCCUCUUGUCAUCUGGAAGCUCAGACAUACAUAAGACCUACCUCGCUAGAUGUUGUUUUUCGUCAAAGUACAUGAUUUACUUGUAUGAUCUAAUGCGAUUAUAAGAACUGUCUCAGUAGAAUCGAGGUUUCAUAGUUAUAACUUUAUAUUAACAUAACUUUUAGUUUAGUUUAGGAAUGACAAAAUGACAGACAAUUUUGUCAUGAAUUUGGGUAAUUGGACUGAAUCUGGAAGUGAUUAAAGAUUGAAUUUAUUUCAAAUUUGUAAAAACAAGAAUUAACAUACCAGUUUAACUGAAUUUAAGUGUUUGGAUUUUUAUCAAUAGAAUCACUAUCAAAAUCUGUAUAGGUCUGUAUUCACAAUUUGUAAAUAUUGAAUGAGAAAUCUGUUAAACUAUAAUUAUAUAAUUCUUAAAGAAUAAUUAAAUGUAUUGUAGGGUGUUUCAACAUAUUGUUAAAUCAAGGUUUAAAAUUAGAAAAUAUCUGUAAUGACAAAAUUGAAUUUUACUACUUGUAAAUCAGUGAAUUUAGCAAGUAGUAAUAAUAAUAGAUUAAUUGGGACUCACUUUUGUUAUAAUUAGAAAUUAUUGGAGAAUUAAUGAGUUGUGGUAAUAAACAUAAAUUAAAAUUUUAAAUACUAUGAGACAUAGUUCAGUGAAUCUUUAUAAUAAUGUAAUGUUAGAAUUUAUUUGUGUUUACAAAGUUUGAGGACAAACUUGUAGUCAGUAUGGCCGAAUGUUAGAUUUUUAAUUAUUUCAAUAAUUAUAAAUACAUAAGACAACAUAUAAAAACUCCUUCUUCCAGAUAAAUGUUUUAAUCUGUACUGUUUAUUAAUGAUAAUGGUUUUAUUCUGAGGUUGGUAAGGUAUUGUGAUAUAUACUCUAUGUAAAAGAGGCGAACAUGCGAUUAUGUGGCGUGAAGUUUAUUUAAUUAAUGUAUUAUCCAUCUACCAAAGUAACGAUUUGUUUAAGAAUGAGUAAUAAGUUAUUUGAAAUACAGUUUAUACAUUCCA
Long non-coding RNA from Bicyclus anynana (squinting bush brown), 6450 nucleotides. RefSeq lists it as uncharacterized. NCBI's taxonomy places the organism in Eukaryota, Metazoa, Arthropoda, Insecta, Lepidoptera, Nymphalidae. The record is from RefSeq and is a predicted model, not a curated record. The transcript has 2 exons.